Molecule: transfer RNA, 72 nt
Filed under: Longimicrobiales bacterium
Lineage: Bacteria; Pseudomonadati; Gemmatimonadota; Longimicrobiia; Longimicrobiales
Description: tRNA-Glu
Rfam family: tRNA
About the family: Transfer RNA (tRNA) molecules are approximately 80 nucleotides in length.
Source: RNAcentral
GCCCUGAUCGUCUAGCGGCUAGGACACCACUCUUUCAAGGUGGCGGCCGGGGUUCGAUUCCCCGUCGGGGCG